AAAACAAAACAAAACAGAGAAGGGAGAAAGAAAGAAACAGAGAGCAAAACGAAACAGAGAAGGAAGGAAGGAAAGAAAGAAAGAAAAGAAAAGAAAAAGGGAAAUUUGGGGUUUUAAGGUUCAAAGUAAUUUGGUAAGUCAAUUUAAUCCCAUUUUCUCUUAAUUUUGAUAUUUUUUUUGAAAUCCUAGAAUAAAAUACUACUUGAUUUAAGUUGAAAUUUUGAAAGUUAGUAGAUUAUUAAGCAUGGUUCAUGUUGAAUAAAUUGUUAAAUUAGGGAUGUAUUUGAUAGAAAUUUUGAUUUGAAUUGAAUAAAGGAUUGAAUUGUAAACUAAACUAUAAGUUUUAAAUUUUAGGGAUUAAUUUGAAAUAAAUUCGGAAUUAUGAAAACAUGAUAAAAAUUAAAUAGUUAAAUAUGAGUUUAGUAAGAAAUUGGGUAGAAUAAGGGUAUGAAUUGAGAAAGAAAAAUAUAUAGGUUUAGUUAGGGGUUAAAUUGAUUUAAUUUCAAGUUAGAAGUUAGUAAAGAAUGUAAUUGUAAAAUAAAAUAUAAGUUUUGAAUCGAUAGGGAUUAAAUUGAAAGAAUCCCGAAAUUAGGGAUUUAUGGUGAAAUUGAGGAAUUAAAUUGACUUUAUAGUAAGAAUUAAGAGAGAAUAUAGAGUUAGAUUGGGAAAAAUAAAAUUAGUAUUGGUAAGAGAUUAAAUUAGAAUUUGGGUAAAGUUUAGGUAUAAAAGGAAAUAUUUUAAUGAAAUUGUGUAUUAAUGAUUUUUAAUUGUUUAAUUACGUAGCUAAUGUCGUGUACGAGUCAUUGUCUGAGAAGGAAAGGAGAAAGUGGACAAGGAGUGACUCGAGAGAAAUUACGGUUAGUAUUACUAUAAUUCGAAUUUAAUUAUUAAUUGUUAAAAUUUAAAUUAAUAUACAUGAUAAGAAAAUUGAGGUGAGUAUCAUGAUUGAAUCGAAUGAAAUAUAUAUAUACGUAUUGAUAUUGAAUUUAUUGAUAGUAAUUGUUGAAUUUUGAAUAAUAUGUUUAGUAAAUAAAAAUAAGGAGAAUACCAAUAUUUAAUUGAAUGAAUUAAAAUAUGAAUUGAAUAAAUGAGAUAUUAAAUUGAGAUAUGUGAAUAUGUGAAUUGUGUAUUGAUUGAAAGGUGGUUUGAAUUGAAUCGAAGUAUGAUUAUAUGUGAAUAUCUGAAAUAUGUAUUGGUAUUGAAUUGUAUAUUGAUUUGAAAGUGGGAAGUGAAUCUGAGUUGAAUUGCGAUUAAAUCGAAAGUGAAAUUGAAAAAGAAAAAUGUAUUGAAACAAAUGGUGAUUAAAUGGGAAUGAUUUGAAUUGAAAGUAUGAGAAAGUGAUUGAAUUGAAAUGUGAUUCGGAAACCCUAUUAACUAGUCGGGCUGAGUCGGAUAUAGUUGGCAUGCCAUAGGAUUGGAAGAGUUCAGGGAUACUUCGACCUUGAGUCGAUGAGACACUGGGUGUCAUACUAUUACUUCGGAUAGAUUCGAUGAGGUACUGGGUACCAACUUACUUCGGCUUGGCCGAUGAGACACUGGGUGUCAACUAUUGCUUCGAACUAUCCGAUGAGGCACUGGGUGCCAUUCUGGUGUGUUUGGUUGGAUCCGUGUAUCCGCCAAGGUCCGAGUCUUGUUAAUAGGGGUAAAUAAUUGAAAUGAGAAAAUUGAAUAAAUGUGAUUGAUUGAGCUCGAAAUAAGAGAUUUAAAGAUAUGAACCCAAAGUUCAUGAUAUGAAAAAGAGUAAAUUUUGUUAUAUGAUAUUAGUGAGUACAAAUUGCAAUAAAAUUUAUAUUGAAUAUAAAUUAAAUGAAAUGAAUUGUAUAUGAAUUGAAAUGAACUAUUGGAAUGAGAUGUAAAGAAAAAUCCAAUGGAAUUGAGAUAGUGAAAUAAGGUAUGAAUACAAUUAAAUACAAGAUUUGAAUUAUAGCUUAUUGUUAUUAAUUAUCAAGUUGAUUUAAUGCAUGAGAUAAUUAAUGAAUAAUUGUAGACAUAAAUAAAAUGUAUAUAAUUUAUCGAUUAAUGUUAUUAAUUCGAAUUAUGGUAAUACCACUGAGUAUUUCCAUACUCAGCGUAUGGUUGUUUCCGUGCGCAGGUUAGGUCAAAGUCGGAUUGUUGAAUCAGCAUCCAAAGCCGAUUCUGAGCUAACUGUGGUUGUGAACAUUUCUUUUAGUUAUGGCAUGUAUAGGAAUUUAGUAAUUUUGUAUAUUUGUAAAUAUGAUUUUACUAUAGAAUGAUGUGUAAGUAUUUGAUGAUGAAUGGUUGCUUAAAUGGUCAAGGAUGAAGUUAAUUAUUGUUAUAAAAGUCUAAGUGAUAAAUUAGGUAUGAAAGUCAUAAAAUGGUAAAAUUUUGCAAAGAAACAGAAUUCAGGCAGCAAUAGUGACGUAACUUUGAAAAAUCACCUAGGAUAGUAUAAAAUGAAUUAGAGGGUGAAUGAUAUAUGAAAUGAAAUAUUAUUGAGUCUAUUUAAAAAUAACGGUUUAGCAAAAAGAAAUUUAUAUUUUAAGAUAUGUGAAUUUUAGUGAGAAAUGGUCAGAUCUAUUUCUGGAGUCCCCUGUUCCGAGUUUAGAAAAUCACUAAAAAUGGUAUAAAAAUAUUUAUGAGUUGUAGUUUAUAUGUGUAGAAUCCUUAUUGAGUCUAUUUUCUGUAGAAAUAAGUGGUAAUAUCAUAUGAAAAUCCUAUAAUGAGAAAAUUUAUUUUUAGUACCAAGGGGUCAGGACAGUCGAGUGAAGAAACAGGGGAGAAUUUAACUAAUAAACUGUACUAAAUGGCUAAACCAAAAAUUCUGGAAAUUUUAUGGUAGAAAGAUAUAUGAGUCUAGUUUCAGGAAAAAUUUACGAAAUUAAAUUUGGAGUUCUGUAGCUCGAGUUAUAAUCAAUUUAGUAACUGCUGCGCGAUUAAACAGAUUACUGUAAACAGUGAAAAAUAUUUUUAAAACGAAUUUUUAUGCCCCGAAUUAGUAAGAAAAACUAAGUAAUGCCUCGUACUCGAUUCCGGAAACGGUCUCGGGUAAGGGGUGUUACAUACCCGGUAAGUUAGGGCACCACACCUCGAAGCUCCGAAAAUAAGCAUUUUUUAGACUCGUGUUGUGAUUUAAAAGAAUAUUUCGCAUUUAGAUUGAAUGAGAAAAGUCGAGGCCCAGUAACUUAGGGCACGAUUAUCUCGAAUCACCUAAUGCGGAAUAUUGCUACUUUGUGAAAGAAUUGCAUUAAUAGAUUGAGUGGGAAAUAUAACAUAAUUUAGCAUAAAAGCAAAUUAUAGAAUUGCUAUGUAUGAUGACACAAUGAUAGGUGUGGUAGUGUCAAAAACGAUAAUACGAACAGUUAUAAAAGAUGAUAUAGUAAUGAGGCUAAGCAAACGUAAACACAUGCGUGAGGAAAAUGAAAUAAUCAAACACGCAAGCAAAUAAAUAAAUGAAUAAAUAAAUAAAUAAUGGUAGAAUAAAAUGAUAACGAAAACAAUAAUAACGAUAUGAGUAAAGAUAAACGAAUAAAACGAAUAAAAAAGAAAAUAAUAAAAUAAUGAAUAAAGCAGGAGAUGUUCAAAAUUAAAAGGAACUCAUAAUAAACAAUUAUUAUGUAAAACUAAAGAACGAUAAUAUAGAAACGGUAAUAAUAAUAUUAAUAGUAAUAAUACAGGUAAUGCUUUAGAAAUGAUGUAUGAAAGUGUAUAUACGUACGUGUAUAAAUAAAUAAUAUAUGAUGUGGGUGAGGGAAGAAUAAAAUAAGUGUAUUUAAAAGGUAAUAGGUGAAAAUGUAGGAAUAAUAAUGAUAUAAAUAAUAAUAACAUUAAAAUAAAGUAAUAAGCAAGUGAAAAUAUUAAGUACAAUAAUAUAUGGUCAAAAAAAUACUAUAUAAAAAGUAUAUAUACAUGUAUAAAAUAGACAUAACAAUAAUAUGAUAUAUUAAAAAUAUAUAUAUAUUUAUAUGAUGUUAAAAUAUGUAUAUAUUGUAAUAUCCCGAAUUAGGGCCUAAUCGGAAUAGUGGUUUUGUGACCACAAAUCCAAGAUAGAAAUAAUUAUUUUAUAAUUAUUUUGAUGAUUAUGAUAUGAUUGCAUGAUUGUGUGAAAAUUUCGUGAUGAAAUUCUAUGCCUAAAGUGCUUAAAUUGAAAGUAGCGACUAAAUCGAAUAAGUUGCAAAACUUGCAUUCUAGAAGUUUUUAGUAUGAAAUUGUUUUGGAAUAUUAAUGAGGAGGUCUUAAAUAGCAAUUUGACCAAUUUUAAGUUCAUGGACAAAAUUAGGACAUGGAAGGAAUUUUUGGAAAGUUUAGUAGUAAGGGUAUUUUGGUUAUUUAGUUAUUAAAAUGAAUUAAAAACAAAAUUAAGAGCCAAUUUUUGUCCAUCUUCUUCAUUAGGCCGAAAUUUCAAGGGUUCUCCAUAGCUAGGGUUUGUUUCAAGCUUCCAAGCUCCAUAAUCAAGAAAGACGAGGAAUCGACCUCAAUCGAGGAAAAGAAAAGAUUGUGGACUAAAUUGCAAAAUCUUUGUAUUUUGGUACCAAGUUUUGGACAAGCCAGUUCAGGAGUCGGGAUAGGUCGAAGGCUCAGUCACACUAUCCGGAAGAUUUUUGGUAAAUGGCUUGUAAAUUUAAGUAUGGCAUGUAUAACAAUAUACUUAUUUUGUGUAAAUGAUCUUAUGAUAUGGUGACAGAAUGGUUGAGAAAAUAUUUGAUAAUGAUAAAUUAUGAAAAUGGUAAGUUUAGAUUAUGUUUGAUGUUAAGGAAAAUUAUUAAGAUACUUAGUGCAUAAAAACUCAUAAGA
RNAcentral lists this long non-coding RNA (4752 nucleotides) under Gossypium barbadense (sea-island cotton). RNAcentral describes it as "long non-coding RNA (GBAR_LNC006794)". The record is from RNAcentral. Lineage: Eukaryota; Viridiplantae; Streptophyta; Magnoliopsida; Malvales; Malvaceae.